Molecule: long non-coding RNA, 222 nt
Filed under: Homo sapiens (human)
Lineage: Eukaryota; Metazoa; Chordata; Mammalia; Primates; Hominidae
Description: HSALNT0057223
Source: RNAcentral
UGAACAGCUGUAAUGAAAUAAUCAGAAACAACCAGAUGGAAUUGGAGCCAGUCACCAUGGGUAUUUGAGAAGUGCAUACUGUUUGGGGAGACUGAAUAUGUACUGAUCCAAUCUAAAAUGGAGCAGAUGGCAAAGCAAACAGCGUCCUCCUGAAAAGUCUGCGUGACUAUUUCUUUCCUUCAAAAAGCAGAAAGAAAAAAAAUGUGUGGUGUUAUAUCUCAG